ACGUCGAUGUGUCACAAGGAACGCCGCUCCAUCGUUGAUGCCGACCAAUGAUCCCUCGAGCCCGUGUGUACCUCCAUGAAUGACGCCCCCAAGAGGGAAACGACACCAGAGCAUCGCCGUCAUCCGAUCUACUGAUCUAGGGUUUCCCCCGAAGGUAGCAAAGAGUGGCCUUGAACUUCUCCUCAGCGAUACCUUCAGGAAGGAAACGACGUAGACAACGCCGCCAUCG
Molecule: long non-coding RNA, 229 nt
Filed under: Hordeum vulgare
Lineage: Eukaryota; Viridiplantae; Streptophyta; Magnoliopsida; Poales; Poaceae
Description: long non-coding RNA (HVUL_LNC000554)
Source: RNAcentral